GUUCAACUCCCCUUGAGGGCCUCUCCGGUCCCGAGGCCUACGCCGGGGCCCUGCGGCCCGGUCUGUGAAAUGGGCUGAAACCUCCGAGGGGCGUUGGACCAAGGCCCUGGAGGAAACCGGGGGCGUUGGACCAAGGCAGAGGUUGGGCCAGGUGGUCCCGCCCCUGCAGGAACCCGUGGGGCUGGAGCUCGGAUUAGAACCACAGAGAGGACAUUCAUUAAGACUUGAGCUAAAGGUUUGGCGAGGAGUGACGCCCAAGACGGGCGGACCCCGCCACCCACCUCAGUCCCGGGACCGCGGCAGCUCAAAACCCGACACGCGCCGGACUCAUGCCCCAACAGGAAGCAGCUUUUACCUUCCACGGAUUGGCUCAGGACCCGUCACGUGCCUCUGUCGAGCCAACGAGCCUCACGCUGGGCUUAGCCCUCCUCGAACGUGCUGGGGUGGUGGGCGGGGCCCAAGCCGCCCUUCAACCAGGCUCAGCUGGCCACCAACCCCAACCCCCGCCCCAGCGCCCUCAGCGGAGGCCACAGAGGACUCCCAAUAUAAAGACAAACGUACUGAAGGCCCAGCAUAUGGGAGUCUCUACCCUAAACGACUUAUUUCUUGGGAUAGUUUAAUAUUUUUUGAGAUAGGGUCUCGCUGUGUCGCCCAGGCGACACUUUGGGAGGCUGCGCUCUGGGCUCACUGCAACCUUCGCCUACCGAGUAGCUGGGAUUACAGGUGCAUGCCGCCACACUCUGCUCUUUUUUUUUUUUUUUUUUUUUUUUUGGUAUUUUUAUAGAGAAAGAGUUUUGCUUGUUGCCCAGGCUGGUCUCGAACCCCUGACUUCAAGUGAUCCACCUGCCUCAGCCUCCCAAAGCGCUGGGAUUACAAGCUUGAGGCACCGCACCUGGGUGCUGGCAAUCUCCCUCGAGGCCUCCACCAUGUUCAGCACCACCACAGCACCCCGGUGCUGCAGCUCCUGGUUGGAGCUCAGAAGCAGGGCCUGCAGGAUCUCCAGCCAGUGUGUGGUCUGUGAGAAAAACAGGGUAGAUAUGACCCCUGGGCAACAGGCUCAACCUUGGCAAGGGACACACCCACACACCCUAGGACUGCCCCCUUCAGCUGCUGCUGGGAGUUCCUGGUCCGUCCCUCCUCCCCCACUGAGAAGAGGCACUGACCACUUGGGGAAUGCGGCUGCAGAGCGUGGGCCGCAUGGAGGUAAGCAUGGCCAAGCCCCCGGCAGCUGCCCGCUGUAGCAGCUCAUCAUCCUCUCCACUGUACAGCACCAGCAGCUUCAGUCGGUCAUUGCCCUGGGCUUCGAAGAGGUCCUGCACCUGUGGCCAGAUGUGAGGAGUGGACCAAGUCAGUUGGGUGUAAAGCCCAGCCAGGGCACAGGUACCUCUGCAUCCCCGCCUGUCAUGAGCACCCAGACCAACCCUCACCUCCUUGCUCAUGGCCAAGUUACACAUGCACUCCGUGGCUGCCCGGCGGAUCAUCUCAUGCUCCUCAAACAUGUAGCCUUCUAUCAUGGGCACAGCCUUCUCCUUCAGGAUCUUCUGCCUGCAGGGCCACAGGAGGAAGCAGCAGGGAUACGGUUUGGAUGUUUUCCCUUCUAACCCUCAUGUUGAACUAUAAUCCCCAAUGUUGGAGGUAGGGCCUGGUGGGAGGUGACUGGGUCAUGGGAUGGGUCCCUCAUGGCUUGGUGCUAUCCUCGUGAUAGUAAGUUCUCGUGAGAUCUGGUUAUUUAAAAGUGCGUGGCAUCUCGGCCGGGCGUGGAGGCUCACGCCUGUAAUCCCAGCACUCUGGAAGGCCGAGGCAGGCAGAUGACUUGAGGUCAAGAGUUCGAGACCAGCCUGGCCAACAUGGUGAAACCUUGUCUCUACUAAAAAGACAAAAAAAAAUUAGCUGGGUAUGCUGGUGCGCGCCUGUAGUCCCAGCUACUCAGGGAGGCUGAGGCAGGAGAAGCGAUUGAACCCAGGAGGUGAAGGUUGCAGUGAGCCAAGAUUGCGCCACUGCACUCCAGCCUGGGCAACAGAGGGAGACUCCAUUUCAAAAAAAAAAAAAGUGUGUGGCACCUCCCCCGACUGUCUCUUGCUCCUACUUUCACCAUGUGAUGUGCCUGCUCCUGCUUUGCCUUCUACUAUGAGUAAAAGCUCUCUGAGGCCUCCCCAGAAGCUGAGCAAAUGCCAAUGCCAUGCUUACACAGCCUGUAGAGCCAGGAAGCAAUUAAAUCUCUUUUCUUUAUAAAUUACCCAGUCUCAGGUAUUCCUUUACAGCAAUGCAAGAACAGACUAACACCGGCAGCAUCAUCAGAGUUUCUACAUCUGCUCCACCCCUGCACCCACACCCUCAUGCAAUCAAGUCCUGGGCUGAGGAUUUCCCUUGGCAAUGUCCAAGGACCCUCUUGCACCAGGUAUGAACUACAGUGCUUCUUAGCCUUCUAACCAGGCCUAGGAAAUAGCAUAGGAUUGUGGGAAAUGCUCAAAAUUAGGAUGUAGAAGACCAGGGUGGUCGUGAUGGUGAGGCUAACACCUAACAUUUGAGGGUUUUUGUUUCUGUGUUUUUUUGAGGCAGGAUCUCACUCUGUCACCUAGGCUGGAGUAAAGUGGCAUGAUCACAGCUCACUGCUGUAGCCUUGACCCCCCCAGGCUCAAGUGAUCCUCCUGCCUCAGCCUCUCGAGUAGCUGGGACUACAGGUGCACGCCACCACACCUUGCAAAUUUUUUUUCCAACUGUUAAGUUCAGGGGUACAUGUGCAGGACGUGCAGGUUUGUUACACAGGUAACCAUGUGCCGUUGUGGUUUACCGCACAGAUCAUCCCAUCACCCAGGUAUUAAGCCCAGCAUGCAUUAGCUAUUCUUCCUGAUAUUCUCUUUAAUUUCUUUUUUAAAUAGGGACGAGGUAUUGCUACACUGCUCAGGCUGGCCUGAACUUCUGGGCUCCAGUGAUCCUCCUGCCUCAUCCUCCCAAAUUGCCAGGAUUACAGGUGUGAGCCACCACGCCCGGCCUCAUUUGAGUAUUUACCCUGACCAGGCACCUGGAUCAUCUUACUUAAUUCUCACCAUGGCCCUAUACUAAAGGUGCAAGUGUGAUCAUCAUCACUACUGUUUUGCAGAAUAGGAAACGGGCUAAGUAAUGAGUAAUAUGUUCAAAGUCACAGUUAGUAAUAAAACUAAAACAUGCUGGCCAGCUGCAGUGGCUCACACCUGUAAUCCCAGCACUUUGGGAGGCUGAGGUGGGCGGAUCACGAGGUCAGGAGAUCUAGACCAGCCUGACCAACAUGGUAAAGCGCCAUCUCUACAAAAAUACAAAAAUUAGCCAGGCGCGGUAGCACGUGCCUAUAAUCCCAGCUACUCAGGAGGCUGAGGCAGGAGAAUCGCUUGAACCUGGGAGGCAGAGGUUGCGGUGAGCUGAGAUCAUGCCACUGCCCUCUAGGCUGGGUGACAGAGCAAGACUCCGUCUCAAAGAAAAAAAAAAACUAAAAUAUACUGAUAUGGCACAAUGCUAGGGGCCAGGUACCCAUGUAGUAAGUACUUUUAGGUGUAUUUUCUCAUUUUAUUCUCCUCAUCACUAUGCCAUGAGGUAGGUACUAUAAUCAUCCCAUUUCACAGAGGGAGAAACUGAGACAGAGCAGUUAAGUAACUUGCUUGAGGUUGCCCAUUUGCAAUCAGGGAAGCGAGGCAGUCUGACUCUAGAGUCUGCCGUGC
RNAcentral lists this long non-coding RNA (3692 nucleotides) under Homo sapiens (human). RNAcentral's name for it is "non-protein coding lnc-PRC1-1:2". Lineage: Eukaryota; Metazoa; Chordata; Mammalia; Primates; Hominidae. The record is from RNAcentral.